AUUGAACGCUGGCGGCAGGCCUAACACAUGCAAGUCGAGCGGAUGAAGGGAGCUUGCUCCUGGAUUCAGCUGCGGACGGGUGAGUAAUGCCUAAGAAUCUGCCUGGUAGUGGGGUAUAACGUCCGGAAACGGGCGCUAAUACCGCAUACGUCCCGAGGGAGAAAGUGUGGGAUCUUCGGACCUCCCGCUAUCAGAUGGGCCUAGGUCGGAUUAGCUAGUUGGUGGGGUAAAGGCCUACCAAGGCGACGAUCCGUAACUGGUCUGAGAGGAUGAUCAGUCACACUGGAACUGAGACACGGUCCAGACUCCUACGGGAGGCAGCAGUGGGGAAUAUUGGACAAAGGGCGAAAGCCUGAUCCAGCCAUGCCGCGUGUGUGAAGAAGGUCUUCGGAUUGUAAAGCACUUUAAGUUGGGAGGAAGGGCAGUAAGUUAAUACCUUGCUGUUUUGACGUUACCAACAGAAUAAGCACCGGCUAACUUCGUG
RNAcentral lists this ribosomal RNA (484 nucleotides) under uncultured bacterium. RNAcentral's name for it is "partial 16S ribosomal RNA". It matches the Rfam family "Bacterial small subunit ribosomal RNA", at positions 30 to 507 of the family's 1533-position model. The record is from RNAcentral.